This 179-nucleotide small nuclear RNA is filed under the name Xenopus laevis (African clawed frog). Its description in RNAcentral is "U2 spliceosomal RNA". It matches the Rfam family "U2 spliceosomal RNA". Rfam says of the family: U2 is a small nuclear RNA (snRNA) component of the spliceosome (involved in pre-mRNA splicing). Complementary binding between U2 snRNA (in an area lying towards the 5' end but 3' to hairpin I) and the branchpoint sequence (BPS) of the intron results the bulging out of an unpaired adenosine, on the BPS, which initiates a nucleophilic attack at the intronic 5' splice site, thus starting the first of two transesterification reactions that mediate splicing. Lineage: Eukaryota; Metazoa; Chordata; Amphibia; Anura; Pipidae. The record is from Rfam by way of RNAcentral.
AUCGCUUCCUGGCCUUUUGGCUCAGAUCAAGUGUAGUAUUUGUUCUUAUCAGUUGGUGAAAGGUUGCCACCCCCACUAAUGGAGUGGAGAAACACUUGAUCCUCUGGCCAAAAAGCCAGGCUGGGACUAUACACUGACACUUUUCAUGAUUUUUUAUUUAUGUAUUUUUUUCACCUCUU